RNAcentral lists this ribosomal RNA (470 nucleotides) under uncultured bacterium. RNAcentral describes it as "bacterial SSU rRNA". It matches the Rfam family "Bacterial small subunit ribosomal RNA", at positions 31 to 518 of the family's 1533-position model. The record is from RNAcentral.
GAACGCUGGCGGCGUGCCUAACACAUGCAAGUCGAGCGAGGAGAUCCUUCGGGAUGAUCCUAGCGGCGGACGGGUGAGUAACACGUGGGCAACCUGCCUCAUAGAGAGGAAUAGCCUUCCGAAAGGGAGAUUAAUACCUCAUAACAUUGCAGUUUCGCAUGGAACAGCAAUUAAAGGAGUAAUCCGCUAUGAGAUGGGCCCGCGGCGCAUUAGCUAGUUGGUGAGGUAACGGCUCACCAAGGCGACGAUGCGUAGCCGACCUGAGAGGGUGAUCGGCCACAUUGGGACUGAGACACGGCCCAGACUCCUACGGGAGGCAGCAGUGGGGAAUAUUGCACAAUGGGGGAAACCCUGAUGCAAGCAACGCCGCGUGAGUGAUGACGGCCUUCGGGUUGUAAAGCUCUGUCUUCAGGGACGAUAAUGACGGUACCUGAGGAGGAAGCCACGGCUAACUACGUGCCAGCAGCCGC